Molecule: ribosomal RNA, 554 nt
Filed under: uncultured bacterium
Lineage: Bacteria
Description: partial 16S ribosomal RNA
Rfam family: Bacterial small subunit ribosomal RNA
Source: RNAcentral
UGGGGAAUUUUGGACAAUGGGCGAAAGCCUGAUCCAGCAAUGCCGCGUGUGUGAAGAAGGCCUUCGGGUUGUAAAGCACUUUUGUCCGGAAAGAAAUCCUUGGCUCUAAUACAGUCGGGGGAUGACGGUACCGGAAGAAUAAGCACCGGCUAACUACGUGCCAGCAGCCGCGGUAAUACGUAGGGUGCAAGCGUUAAUCGGAAUUACUGGGCGUAAAGCGUGCGCAGGCGGUUUGCUAAGACCGAUGUGAAAUCCCCGGGCUCAACCUGGGAACUGCAUUGGUGGCUGGCAGGCUAGAGUAUGGCAGAGGGGGGUAGAAUUCCACGUGUAGCAGUGAAAUGCGUAGAGAUGUGGAGGAAUACCGAUGGCGAAGGCAGCCCCUGGGCCAAUACUGACGCUCAUGCAUGAAAGCGUGGGGAGCAAACAGGAUUAGAUACCCUGGUAGUCCACGCCCUAAACGAUGUCAACUAGUUGUUGGGGAUUCAUUUCCUUAGUAACGUAGCUAACGCGUGAAGUUGACCGCCUGGGGAGUACGGUCGCAAGAUUAAAAACUU